GUGCGUGUGGCUGUGUGUGUGUGUGUGUGCUUGUGUGUGUGUGUGUGUGUGUGUGUGUGUGUGUGUGCUUGUGUUAGCUGACUAGCCUGUAUAUGCCAUGGUGCUGGGCAAUGUGGAAUCACAGUUCUCUGUCAUCUCCCUCAGUACUAUCUGUCCCACCUCUUGACACAAUCAAACUAACAGCUUCAGCCAGAAACAGAAGAGAGAGAGCGAGCAAGAGAGACAGACAGAGAGAGAGAGAGAGAAAGAGAGAGAGAGAGAUUGCUUUGGCAAUGUUGUAUUGCAUGCAGUUAUGCCAAUAAACUCAUUUGAAUUUGAAUUUGAGAGAGAGAGAGAGAGAGAAAGGAAGAAGAGAGAGAUGGUAAGAAAGACAAAAAGAAAGAAUUAGAAUAGUCAUCAAUUGGAAAAACCCACAAAAAAUGACAGAGUGGCAUCCACAGUAGGGUAUCUGAAAGUAUGUGCACACAGGAAUCUGUAAUCACAGCAGUGUUAAACAAAGCCCUUCACAAGGAGCCAUGUUAGAGAAGCAACCAUUUGCAUUGCCAGCAGACUGACAGAAACAAACCACACAGACAGGAGAGAAAUCCUUUGAGACCAAAGCAUCACCUGAAGCUCCAAGAGACAGGCUGAGGCUCUGCAGCUAUCCCACGACCGCAAUCACACAGUUUCAGGACCAUGGACAGCGCUUCCGCAUGCAGCACCGUGGACAGCUCCCCCAGCUCAGUAGUGCUACUAACUCCCCAGCUGGCUGCAACGAAUUGAACAUUAUCUCACACUGUACCACACUGCCAUGUUGACUACGGCACAGAUCUGGGCCAAACAUGACCACAUCAAAUAUAUUGAUACAAAAGAGGGGUGGAAGAGAUAGAAUGCUGCAGGGAAAUGUGGAGAAGAAAGGAGAAGAGGGAAAGGGAGAAUGAAAGAGAGAGAGAGAGAAAGGACAAGAGAUAGGGAGAUGUCCUCAAUGUGUUUGUGCCUCAACUGGUGCAUGUCUGGGUGUGUAUGUGUGUGUGUGUGUGUGUGUGUGUGUGUGUGUGUGUGUGUGUGUGUGUGUGUGUGUGUGUGUCUGGUCCUAUGUAUUAAUGAGAGUCAAUUAGUGAAUAAUGCUCUAUCAGUGGUCCAUUAUGUGCUCUAAUCACUGGUCUAUCACCAAACACAUUCACAUCUCCCCAAUGGUGCAGGAAGGACAGGCAGAGGACAAGGACAAGCACUCUCCUCUCCUCCUCCGCACCCUCCCUCUUCAUCCCUCUUUCUUCAGCACCUGGGUAUUCUCCCCAAACACACGCACAUGAAUAUGCAAACAGAUGGGUGGGUCUCGUACAGAGAGAGAGAGAGAGAGAAAGAGAGAGAGAGAGAGAAAUACAAACUCUUUGUCUCUCAUUCUCAAACACAGUGUAACACAUCCAGUGUACACUUCCUUACACACAAUCACAUAGUUUUAGCAGUGGUGUAUAAAGUACCCAAAAGCCAUACUUGAGUAAAAGUAAAGAUACCUUACUGGAAAAUGACUCAAGUAAAAGUAACCUUUUAGAAUACUACUUGAGUAAAAGUCUUAAAGUAUCUGAUCUUUACUGUACUUAAGUAUCAAAAGUAAUUUUCUGAUACUAAAUGUACUUAAGUAUUGAAAGUAAAAGUACAAGUAAAUGCUGUUAAUAAAAAAGCAAAGGGGCAGAAUUUUGAAAAUGAUGAAGUUUAUUCAGACUAGAAUGAGCAUACUUAUAAACUGGGCCUUAUUUGAACACAAUUUUAACACAAUAGGCAAUACUAAAGCAGCACCGAAAGUAACAACCCAGUCAUUACUUGAAACUGAAAAAUGUUUUGUUCAUCUUCAAACAAAACGUCCCAAAAAGCCAUUAUGAAUUGUUUUUAUUUGAAUCUUUGUAACAUUUUGUGAAUGGGCUCCUGAGUAUCCCAAGGUAGGCAUAAGGCACAACCUGAGAGCAAUAACCUGGCGAUCUGAUACAAAGCCAUAGCAUUACAUCAGGAUCAUCAGUUUUACAAGCAAGUUAUCGGUACAGUGACUUUGAAAUACUUUCAGCAACAUGCACACACAUCUCUUGAACAAUAACGUAACUAGCAGCUAUUUUGCUCCACACUGCUACGUUACUGUACUGUAGAUUGACAUCAUCCUAACUAGCUAGCUAGAUACCUCGCCAGAGAUGGAAUAAAGAAUAAGAAUACAAAAUCUUUGUAGGUUAUUAGCUAGCUUGAAAUAUUAUAUACAGAUCUUACCCAGCGGUGAAAGAACAUGACUAGUCUACAAGCUUGUGCUGGUGGCAUUUAAUGAAGAGGUCGUGGGGUUUCUCAUUUUUUGAUUGAGACCUGUGUGCUUUUGCUUCGAUUAUUGUUGUGUCCCCUUCGUUGUUGAUCUUAAUGUUUUGGAUAUAUCCUUCCACUGCAUAUUGCAGUCCAUUUUGCCUUGAUCUGGAGGAUAUCGCGGACAUAUUAUUCCAAAAAGAAUCACUGACACUGACAGACAGUAUAGUGCAUGAACGAGUUCAAAAGACGUAGCAACAGUAACUAAGAGGACGGGGCUUUUGCGAACGGUCAAUAGCGCAUUAACGUGUGCUAGGACCACUGAUUCGCCAAACCUGCUUGCAGUCUGUGUUCUACCACAGUCCCCGUUGUUGGUCUCGUCACUCUCAUGAUUUUUUUUUUUUUCUAAAGAGGAUUUGAUUUUGUAACGAGUAACGAAGGUUUCAGGGGAAAUGUAUCGGAGUAAAAGUAUCAGUUUUCUUUGCAAAAUGUAGCGAAGUAAAAGUAAAAGUAAAAGUAAACAUAAAUAUAAGUAGUAAAGUAAAGUACAGAUAUCCAAAAAAACGACUUAAGUACAGUAACGAAGUAUUUCUACUUCGCUACUAUACAACACUGAGUUUUAGACACACACACACACACACGCACACACAAUACUACGUUAGACCACCAUAUACUUGCAGAAUGGAACAUGUUCUUGCUGAAAUCCAUCAUUUACAGAUGGACAAACCUGGAUGCUAAUAACACCUUCCAUCCCAUAGCAUCCAGGUGUGACUCCAAGGCUCAUCACUACUGUAAAUGGCCAGACUAAAUGUCAUCACCUCACUCGCAAAAAUUCACAACACAGAUUGACAACAUUCACACACCAACCUUGCAGUUCUUUCUACACUCAAACUCAUACUACAACAUACUCUGAUGUGCUUUGUAUAUGGUACCCCCCUAUGUUAGGUUGUCACAUUCACAGGGCCUUAACACUCUUGCCUUUACUCUCACUCUCACAGGGCCGUAACACUCUUGCCUUUACUCUCAGGUUCACAGGGCCGUAACACUCGUGCCCUAACUCUCACAGGGCCGUAACACUCGUGCCCUAACUCUCACAGAGACGUAACACUCGUGCCCUAACUCUCACAGGGUCGUAACACUCGUGCCCUAACUCUCACAGAGACGUAACACUCGUGCCCUAACUCUCACAGGGUCGUAACACUCGUGCCCUAACUCUCACAGAGACGUAACACUCGUGCCCUAACUCUCACAGGGUCGUAACACUCGUGCCCUAACUCUCACUCUCACAGGGCCGUUACACUCGCACCCUAACGCUCACAGGGCCGUAACACUCUUGCCUUUACUCUCACAGGGCCAUAACACUCGUGCCCUAACUCUCACAGGGCCGUAACACUCACAGGGCAGUAACGCUCACAGAGACGUAACACUCAUGCCCUAACUCUCACAGGGCCUUAACACUCUUGCUGUGAUAAGGGUACCUGCUCUCCUCCUUUUCUCCCCUUUAACCUGCUGACCCCUUCCCCCACAGUCCUGUUGUUUUCACACCUGCAGGCUGUCUAAUCACUACACAGCUGGUGUCUCCAGUCUGAUAAGCUCUUCUUAGUUCUCCUCUGCUUCAGAGUGAUGUGGAGGUAACAGGUUAAUCAAUAAGUCAUCUGGGCUCUCAGACGGGAGAAGAGGACAGUCCCUGGAAAGAGCUGCUUGCCAGUGAUGUGUGUUCAGCUUCCUCAUGGAGUGUUUUCUUUGGGGCGGAGAGGAUAUUUUAUUUACAUGUCUGAUGAUUUUUAUUCAAAGGUUUUCUCCAUAUACACCAAGUGUAUGCUAUGUGUUUGGAUAUGUGUGGCUAUGUGUGUAUCUGUUUCCAUAGGUGACCUUUCUAAGUUGAUCUUAAUGCUGCUGUGGUGACAGUGGUCUUUAUGGUGACAUUUAUCACCCCCAGUGAGUAGACACUUGAUGUUUGACUUCCUAAUUAAGAGCCUAUUCUCUGGAAUGUAUAAUUCUCUGUGUCUCUGUCCCUCACACACAAACACACACAAUCAAACACAAACACACACAAUCAAACACACACAGGGGACACGUGUGCAUUCAGACAGAUCUUCAGGCAGAGACUGUGUGCUGGUUAAUGGAAGCUCAUUUACAAUAUGCUCACUGAUAUACAAGCAUAUGAAAUUAUGGUAAAUACAAAUGUUAUAAAUCAGUGAGGAAUGGUCUCUUUAGUCUUGUCUUUCUCCUAUUCUUUCUCUGUCUCACACACACACACCACUCUCUCUCACAGGGUUCUUGCACCAUUUCAAAAGUCAAAUUUAAUGCUUUUUAAGACUUUUUUAAGACCACAACAAAUAUAAUUUAAGACCCAAAAAUGUCACAAUUUCUUUGGAAUACUCAAUUCAGGGGUGCAAACUCAUCAGGGUUGAAAAAGGUGACAACGACGCGAACCCCCUAGGUGCGUCCGGGGCAUGCUCCCCGGGGAAUAUAUUUUAUAUAUAAGAACAUUUUGCACAUUUUAAAGUUCAAUGCAUCAAUCUGGUGCACUUUGACAACAAAAUUAUGAGGCUAGAUCUAUGAAGAACUUUGUGCUGUUGUAAACAAUUUUGUGCUCUGGUAACAGUUUAAUCAUAAACAUUCCUGUGUUGAAUGUUGCACAGGCACAGGCCAACCCAACCUGCCUCUAGUUGAGCCACAGUAAUGGCAUCCUCCUCCUAAAAUUCUCUCAUUCUGAAAACAAACUGAAGUAGGAGAGUGGUAAAUUUGUUCAGUUGCAGUGAAGCGCCCAGCAGUAGAAAACGGGUCAGUGUUUCAGAUUACAGAUUACAUAGGGACGUGUGGUCAGGGGAGGCAGAGCCUCAUAAAAAGUAAAAAACAAAAUAAAUAUUAAUAUGUAUCUACUGAUCUUUGCUUUAAAUAAAAUGUCUGUAUGAUUCCGAUCAUUUUUAUAAUCAAAAUCGCUGAAUUUGACCAUGUCCUGUUCAAACAGAGGCGACUCGCGAGGUGAGGCAGCAACGAGCUGCGCCUCAUCUCAGAUUGUGCAAUCCCUCACACACUGGGUUGAGCACAUGCCUUUUGCUUUCUCAUUGUUUGUCAUCACUGAAAUAUUUGUAGACACUGUCAUUAUAUGUCGUUUGUAUCCAUAGAAUAGGUAAUGUAAUGUAUUUCACGUAUGUGAAGAAGCUAUUUAGUCUUGCUGAUCUGUCAUAAAACCACAGUGAAAAAGCACAUAGGGGAGGCAAACCUAACCUCUGCCUCAAUGAA
Clupea harengus (Atlantic herring) is the source of this 5505-nucleotide long non-coding RNA. NCBI's taxonomy places the organism in Eukaryota, Metazoa, Chordata, Actinopteri, Clupeiformes, Clupeidae. The record is from Ensembl.